AUUGAACGCUGGCGGCAGGCCUAACACAUGCAAGUCGAGCGGAUGAAGGGAGCUUGCUCCUGGAUUCAGCGGCGGACGGGUGAGUAAUGCCUAGGAAUCUGCCUGGUAGUGGGGGAUAACGUCCGGAAACGGGCGCUAAUACCGCAUACGUCCUGAGGGAGAAAGUGGGGGAUCUUCGGACCUCACGCUAUCAGAUGAGCCUAGGUCGGAUUAGCUAGUUGGUGGGGUAAAGGCCUACCAAGGCGACGAUCCGUAACUGGUCUGAGAGGAUGAUCAGUCACAUUGGAACUGAGACACGGUCCAGACUCCUACGGGAGGCAGCAGUGGGGAAUAUUGGACAAUGGGCGAAAGCCUGAUCCAGCCAUGCCGCGUGUGUGAAGAAGGUCUUCGGAUUGUAAAGCACUUUAAGUUGGGAGGAAGGGCAGUAAGUUAAUACCUUGCUGUUUUGACGUUACCAACAGAAUAAGCACCGGCUAACUUCGUG
This 484-nucleotide ribosomal RNA is filed under the name uncultured bacterium. RNAcentral's name for it is "partial 16S ribosomal RNA". It matches the Rfam family "Bacterial small subunit ribosomal RNA", at positions 30 to 507 of the family's 1533-position model. The record is from RNAcentral.